AACUUUGUAGCCCAGUUGGUUAGAGCGCUGCACCGGAAUCGCAGGGCCGUAGGUUCAAUUCCUACCAGAGAAC
Molecule: transfer RNA, 73 nt
Filed under: Paramuricea clavata
Lineage: Eukaryota; Metazoa; Cnidaria; Anthozoa; Malacalcyonacea; Plexauridae
Description: tRNA-Ser
Rfam family: tRNA
About the family: Transfer RNA (tRNA) molecules are approximately 80 nucleotides in length. Their secondary structure includes four short double-helical elements and three loops (D, anti-codon, and T loops).
Source: RNAcentral